Non-coding RNA from Pelobates cultripes (western spadefoot toad), 210 nucleotides. NCBI's taxonomy places the organism in Eukaryota, Metazoa, Chordata, Amphibia, Anura, Pelobatidae. The record is from the annotation of a GenBank genome assembly.
GUUAGGUUGUUACUUUCCUCAGCAGCUUCAGAUUCAGUCAGAUGCUAUGGUAGACUAUGUGACCGCUCUCUCCCAUGCCCUGACCAAAAUACAUGCCCAAGUGUUUUCUUCUAUUCCAGAUCCUGAGUCAAAUACAGGUACACACAAGCUGCUUCCUGGUGACUGGGUUAUGGUCAAGAAGUUUCUCAGGAAACACACCCUAGAACCGAG